Molecule: ribosomal RNA, 431 nt
Filed under: Boophis quasiboehmei
Lineage: Eukaryota; Metazoa; Chordata; Amphibia; Anura; Mantellidae
Description: partial 16S ribosomal RNA
Rfam family: Bacterial large subunit ribosomal RNA
Source: RNAcentral
AGGAUCCUACUGUCUCCCCCCUCUAAUCAGUGAAACUGAUCUCCCCGUGAAGAAGCGGGGAUAUACAUAUAAGACGAGAAGACCCCAUGGAGCUUUAAACCUGACAGCACCCGCUCAUUCUAUACCCCAUUAUUUGCCCGACCCCUGUCUGCUCAGUUUUAGGUUGGGGUGACCACGGAGUAUAAAAUAACCUCCAUGAAGAAGGGGAUAUUUCCCUUAUUAGAGAACCACACUUCCAAGAACUAAUAAAUUAAUUUUCAAUGACCCGAUACCAGAUAAUCGAUCAACGAACCAAGUUACCCUGGGGAUAACAGCGCAAUCCACCCUGAAAGCCCUUAUUAACAGGUGGGUUUACGACCUCGAUGUUGGAUCAGGGUAUCCCAGUGGUGCAGCAGCUACUGAGGGUUCGUUUGUUCAACGAUUAAAACCCU